Molecule: ribosomal RNA, 253 nt
Filed under: uncultured bacterium
Lineage: Bacteria
Description: partial 16S ribosomal RNA
Rfam family: Bacterial small subunit ribosomal RNA
Source: RNAcentral
UACAGAGGGUGCAAGCGUUGUUCGGAAUUAUUGGGCGUAAAGGGUGCGUAGGUGGCGCCGUAAGUCGGAUGUGAAAUUUCGGAGCUUAACUCCGAAACUGCAUUCGAUACUGCGGUGCUUGAGGACUGGAGAGGAGACUGGAAUUCAUGGUGUAGCAGUGAAAUGCGUAGAGAUCAUGAGGAAGACCAGUGGCGAAGGCGGGUCUCUGGACAGUUCCUGACACUGAGGCACGAAGGCCAGGGGAGCAAACGGG